ACGUCUACAUUAGACUACCCCGUAGUCCCAGCCGUAAACUAUGCUCGCUAGGUGUCAGGCAUGGCGCGACCGUGUCUGGUGCCGCAGGGAAGCCGUGAAGCGAGCCACCUGGGAAGUACGGCCGCAAGGCUGAAACUUAAAGGAAUUGGCGGGGGAGCACAACAACGGGUGGAGCCUGCGGUUUAAUUGGACUCAACGCCGGACAACUCACCGGGAACGACAGCAAUAUGUAGGCCAGGCUGAAGACCUUGCCUGAAUCGCUG
This 263-nucleotide ribosomal RNA is filed under the name uncultured archaeon. RNAcentral's name for it is "partial 16S ribosomal RNA". It matches the Rfam family "Archaeal small subunit ribosomal RNA", at positions 716 to 982 of the family's 1478-position model. The record is from RNAcentral.